AUUGGCGUAACGGCACCAGUCUGUAGUGAUAUCUGCGGCUUUCUCGCUGACGUAAUAUUGACUGAUCCGAAUGUUUACUUUGGACACGAUCACUUAGAGUCGCACAUUGCGCUCUUUCCCUCUCCCAGUCUCCGUCUCUCUGCUCGUCCCCUUUGCUUUCCUCCGGCGUUCACGCAAAGAUCCUAAUCCAUUCCCAGCUGAAAGGGUCACCUUAAAGGAGUUUUCUUUUCUUUUUGCGUGUGCGCGCGGACGACCCCUCUUGGGAUUCUAUUCUGUUCGAGUCGAGCUGGUGGAGAGCCGUGGAAAGAUACCACAGGUGAAUGGAGCUUUAACGACGCUGCGGUAUUGAUGAUUGAACAGUUUAAGGUUUCCAUGAGCGCAAUCUGUGCCUGAUUUGACAGAAGCCGAGUCUUUCGCGGCACUUUGUGAUAACUGAAGCGGACCGAGUUAGCUUCCCCCCCCCCCCUCCUUUUUUUUUUUUUUUUUGUUGAAGACAUAAAAAAAAAUUCUCCUCUGGCUUUCCUAAAGGAUGAUAUGACAUUUUCUUUUGCGCAGUGGUGGCUGCUUUCCUACCAAUUUCUUGGAUCUUUGUCAUGCCUUUCUGCAGGAUUACUCACGGAGAUAUGAGCGCACUAAGAAAUCGAGUUGGAUUGUAAAACAAAAUUGAGAUACAUUCUUUAAAACAAAAACCCUUGCUCCUUUUUUAAAUUAUUAUUAUUUUUCACCAAAGCGGGAAGUGCUGCUUUGUGGUAAUCAAUGGCUUCGGUGCCGAGGUCGGCAAGGCGCAAAGAUGCCACUCGCUGGCCGAGGAUGUCGUCAACUUUUUGGGCUGUGGUGCUCCUGACGGCGCUGUUGGUUCUCUACUGCGGCCAGCUGGCAGCGGGGACAUGUGAGAUUGUGACGUUGAACAAGGACAGCAGCCAACCACGACGGACCAUCGCCAGGCAGACGGCCCGCUGCGCCUGUAAGAAGGGCCAGAUCGCCGGAACUACAAGAGCCAGACCUGCCUGUGUGGACGCUGGGAUUGUUCGAAAAAGGCAGUGGUGUGAGAUGGUUCCGUGUUUGGAGGACGAAGGCUGUGACCUGUUAGUCAAUAAAUCUGGAUGGACUUGUACACAGCCAGGAGGCCGAGUCAAAACCACCACGGCUCUAUGACGCGACAAGAGUUCCCCUCGACAUUCUUGCACUAUGGAGAGCAUUGAUGACCCCUUGACAGACAGCCAAAACCCACCAACCAACACCACCACCCACAACCCCACCCUAACCCUGAUCGCACAGCACCAAGGGCUUCUUUGACGCUGCAAGGUGUCAUAACACAACCAGAGGUGCCAAACACGGGAGUGACCGACGGUGGGAGUUUGUGCUCUUGAGGGGUUUCGGACAAACUUACUAUUAAAACACUUCCCACCUCCUGUGACUCGCACCUCCGCGUCGCCGACCGCUCCCUCACGCCGUCUGUCACCGGGUCAGCGCCUUCCUCCUCGUCAAUGCAUCUGCCUGUUUGAUGAAAAACUUUUAUUACGCCGCAGAGGACCGGACACCUUAAAAUGCUUUUCGUUCUUUUUGUCAUUGGAAGUCCAAUUUUUAAGGAGCUGCUCGCUGCAUUUUCAGAACAAAAGAAAAACAAAAAAAGGGAUUCCCACACCACCAAACACCAUCGCCACCUCUCCAAGUCUUUCUGUAGUGCUGGAGUUUCCAGAGCACAGCUGGGAUCAUUACAGACCGAACCCUGUUGCUUCAGACCACUUGACGAGGCCGUAAAAACCAAACUGUGCGCUCUCUGCUGUGAAUAGGCCUUCUGCUGGAGUCAAACUCCUUUAUUUUUAUAGACCAAAGAGCAAAACCACAACAAAUAUGAUCAUUAGAACAAGAGGUGGCAAAAGAAACGUAUUCCUCUUUGGGGGGGAGGGGUUGCUACACAAUCUCUCUACGCGAACAAUCGAAUCAAUGGAGUCCUUUUGAAACCUUCUGGACUUUUUCUCUUUUCUUCAGACUGAAGCCCACAACUUGUAUUUUGGAACUGGAACUAUAGGUACUGCAUACGUAUAACUAUGUAUCAACAACAACGAAAAAAAAAACAAAAAAAACAAAAAUCUGAUUUGUGAUUUUUCAGUAGCAAUGGUUUUCGGACAGAAUCAUGUCGAAGGAAAUGCUACACGUCUACAGGAGGGUACGGACGGAUGGCGUCAAGUCGGAACGGGAAGAGCAAAGAAUUGCCAUUAAAUGUAUUUUGAAAGGCCCUUAAAAAGUUAUAUAUUUAACAAUUUUAUAUGUUGUACCUUUGUAGAGAAGCUUAUUGGACUUAAAUGUGGUCACAAUGGCAGUUUAGUAGAACGUGAACAAACGCUGUUCUCAUUACUGCUGGCUCGUAGUCUAUGGUUUUCUGUUCACACCUCGGUAGCUGCUUUCUUUUCAUGGUCAUCUAAAGUCACAGUCUUAUUAGAACCAUUAACGACAAGAAAAGAAAAAAAAAACAGGAGAGCGACACAAUUUCUUGAGGACUGAUGUGCAGCCAACAGAACAUUGUAAAUCUAUGGUAGUGAGUGGACGCCAUUGAAAUCUGCUAAUUUGCUAUGAUAUUGUAUUGUACACGAUGUGGAAUACUGAUUCAUUUCCCCCUCAACGGGUUUUGAUCUCUUAAUUUAUUUUGGUGCUUGUGUUCGUUCGCACAAAUCCAGCCUCUCUCCGUUGGCAAUCCGGACAAUGAAGGAAGCAGAGAGGAACGGUACCGAAAGGAAGCACUGCAAACAUAGUCAUAUAAAUACAUUUUUUAUCAUGAAAUAUUUUAAGAAUAAAUUAAAUACAUGGAAAAAAA
This is an RNA transcript of Xiphophorus couchianus (Monterrey platyfish), 2815 nucleotides long. It is a transcript of the gene named protein FAM19A5, with no coding region annotated. The record is from RefSeq and is a predicted model, not a curated record. The transcript is spliced from 5 exons. Lineage: Eukaryota; Metazoa; Chordata; Actinopteri; Cyprinodontiformes; Poeciliidae.